CCCCCCGAAUUGUAGUCUAGAAAGGCGCCAUCGGCCGCGUCCGUCGCUCAAAUCCCUUGGAACAGGGUAUCGGAGAAGGUGAGAAUCCUGUACCGUGGCGGAUCGCGGCCGCACGAUGCGUUUUUGCAGAGUCGGGUUGCUUGGGAUUGCAGCUUGAAUUGGGAGGUAAAUUCCUUCUAAAGCUAAAUAUUGGUUCAUGACCGAUAGCGAACAAGUACCGUGAGGGAAAGAUGCAAAGAACUUUGAAAAGAGAGUUAAAGAGUGCUUGAAAUCGGUAAGAGGAAACCCGUUUGUGCCCGGUUUCGCGACUCCUAUCCAAUUCCUCUGGGAUGCAUCUAGGUUAGCGGGUCCGCUGCGAUUCGGUCUGUCACAUAACCGCUUGGGGGGCUUCGGUGAGCCAAGUGACUGAGCGGACCGGAUUCCGGCGGACGGAACGGGCACAACCGACCCGUCUAGAAACACGGACCAAGGAGUCUGACACGGAUGCGAGUACCCGGGUGGCAAGCCCGCGUGCGCAAUGAAAGUAAAGGGCGUGCCCCGCCAACCGACCUUGAUCUUCUGUGAAGGGUUUGAGUCGAGCAUCACUGUCGGGACCCGAAAGAUGGUGAACUAUGCCUGAGGAGGUUGAAGUCUGCCGAAAGGCAGAUGGAGGGCCGUAGCGAUACUGACGUGCAAAUCGUUCGUCGAACUUGGGUAUAGGGGCGAAAGACUAAUCGAACCAUCUAGUAGCUGGUUCCCUCCGAAGUUUCCCUCAGGAUAGCUUGGACGCAAGGGUUUUGU
Molecule: ribosomal RNA, 780 nt
Filed under: Haptophyta environmental samples
Lineage: Eukaryota; Haptophyta
Description: eukaryotic LSU rRNA
Rfam family: Eukaryotic large subunit ribosomal RNA
Source: RNAcentral